RNAcentral lists this ribosomal RNA (279 nucleotides) under uncultured bacterium. RNAcentral describes it as "partial 16S ribosomal RNA". It matches the Rfam family "Bacterial small subunit ribosomal RNA", at positions 76 to 354 of the family's 1533-position model. The record is from RNAcentral.
UUGCUUUCUCCGCCGGCGACCGGUGCACGGGUGAGUAACACGUAUGCAACCUGCCCCUGUCAGGGGGACAACCCGCCGAAAGGCGGGCUAAACCCGCGUACAUGCCACCGGGGCAUCCCGGAGGCAGGAAAGGCUUCGGCCGGACAGGGAUGGGCAUGCGGCGCAUUAGGCAGUAGGCGGGGUAACGGCCCACCUAACCGACGAUGCGUAGGGGUUCUGAGAGGAAGGUCCCCCACACUGGUACUGAGACACGGACCAGACUCCUACGGGAGGCAGCAG